This 256-nucleotide unclassified non-coding RNA is filed under the name Glomeraceae sp. Its description in RNAcentral is "partial contains 5.8S ribosomal RNA and internal transcribed spacer 2". The stretch from base 1 to 65 matches the Rfam family "5.8S ribosomal RNA", at positions 84 to 154 of the family's 154-position model. Lineage: Eukaryota; Fungi; Glomeromycota; Glomeromycetes; Glomerales; Glomeraceae. The record is from RNAcentral.
GUGAAUCAUCGAAUUUUUGAACGCAAAUUGCACUCUCUUCGGAGAGUAUGCCUGUUUGAGGGUCAGCCUAAAAAAAAUCGACAUCGUUGCUGUUUCGCGGUGACGUUCGUCGGAAAUUGGGUCAUCUUAAACCCUUUGGGUUUUAAGCGACUUAAUAUUUUCUUUUUGUUUCCAUGAACGUUUCUAAUAUUUAUUUCUUUACACGUUUAAGGUAUCGAUUUUUAUUAGACGUGACUAUCAUAUCGGAGCGCGUCCA